UAAUACGUAGGUGGCAAGCGUUAUCCGGAAUUAUUGGGCGUAAAGCGCGCGCAGGUGGUUUCUUAAGUCUGAUGUGAAAGCCCACGGCUCAACCGUGGAGGGUCAUUGGAAACUGGGAGACUUGAGUGCAGAAGAGGAAAGUGGAAUUCCAUGUGUAGCGGUGAAAUGCGUAGAGAUAUGGAGGAACACCAGUGGCGAAGGCGACUUUCUGGUCUGUAACUGACACUGAGGCGCGAAAGCGUGGGGAGCAAACAGGAUUAGAUACCCUGGUAGUCCACGCCGUAAACGAUGAGUGCUAAGUGUUAGAGGGUUUCCGCCCUUUAGUGCUGAAGUUAACGCAUUAAGCACUCCGCCUGGGGAGUACGGCCGCAAGGCUGAAACUCAAAGGAAUUGACGG
RNAcentral lists this ribosomal RNA (397 nucleotides) under bacterium enrichment culture. Its description in RNAcentral is "bacterial SSU rRNA". It matches the Rfam family "Bacterial small subunit ribosomal RNA", at positions 521 to 916 of the family's 1533-position model. The record is from RNAcentral.